AGUGAACGCUGGCGGUAGGCCUAACACAUGCAAGUCGAACGGCAGCACAGGAGAGCUUGCUCUCUGGGUGGCGAGUGGCGGACGGGUGAGGAAUACAUCGGAAUCUACUCUGUCGUGGGGGAUAACGGAGGGAAACUUACGCUAAUACCGCAUACGACCUACGAGUGAAAGCAGGUGACCUUCGGGCCUUGCGCGAUUGAAUGAGCCGAUGUCGGAUUAGCUAGGUGGCGGGGUAAAGGCCCACCAAGGCGACGAUCCGUAGCUGGUCUGAGAGGCUGAUCAGCCACACUGGAACUGAGACACGGUCCAGACUCCUACGGGAGGCAGCAGUGGGGAAUAUUGGACAAUGGGCGCAAGCCUGAUCCAGCCAUACCGCGUGGGUGAAGAAGGCCUUCGGGUUGUAAAGCCCUUUUGUUGGGAAAGAAAUCCAGCUGGCUAAUACCCGGUUGGGAUGACGGUACCCAAAGAAUAAGCACCGGCUAACUUCGUGCCAGCCGCCGCCGUAA
RNAcentral lists this ribosomal RNA (506 nucleotides) under uncultured bacterium. RNAcentral's name for it is "partial 16S ribosomal RNA". It matches the Rfam family "Bacterial small subunit ribosomal RNA", at positions 29 to 523 of the family's 1533-position model. The record is from RNAcentral.